RNAcentral lists this ribosomal RNA (494 nucleotides) under uncultured bacterium. Its description in RNAcentral is "bacterial SSU rRNA". It matches the Rfam family "Bacterial small subunit ribosomal RNA", at positions 28 to 521 of the family's 1533-position model. The record is from RNAcentral.
GACGAACGCUGGCGGCGUGCUUAACACAUGCAAGUGGAGCGACGAACCGGGGCUUGCCCCGGGGCAGAGCCGCGAACGGGUGAGUAACACGUGGGUGUAUCUGCCCUGAUGAUCGGGACAACCCGUCGAAAGACGGGCUAAUACCGAAUGUGCCCGCAAGGGGAAAGGAGGCUUCGGCUUCCGCAUCGGGAUGAGCCCGCGGCCCAUUAGCUUGUUGGUGGGGUAAAGGCCUACCAAGGCGACGAUGGGUAGCUGGUCUGAGAGGACGAUCAGCCACACUGGGACUGAGACACGGCCCAGACUCCUACGGGAGGCAGCAGUGGGGAAUCUUGCGCAAUGCGCGAAAGCGUGACGCAGCAACGCCGCGUGCGGGAAGACGGCCUUCGGGUUGUAAACCGCUUUCAGUUGGGACGAAGGUCCGCCGGUUAAUACCCGGCUGGAUUGACGGUACCUUCAGAAGAAGCCCCGGCUAACUACGUGCCAGCCGCCGCAGU